UCCCCUGCAUCGGCAGGCGGACUCUCAACCACUGCGCCACCAGGGAAGCCCUGGGCCACGGUUUUAACUUGGAGGGUGCAGGCGGGCUUUAUUUUGAUUGUUCUUUGACAUUGAUGGAAACACCCACACGGAGCAGAGCCGGCCCUUCCCCUUCUUCUCGCCUCCCUGCGGGCUGCAGGGUUUAACUGCCCUUUCAUAAUCAGAGAUAAAUGUGUGCGGUUAUAACGCUCUAACUACUGAAGGGCCAAGGUCAAGGAAUUUCCUGUUGUAGCCGACUCACACCUGUAUUGGGACAGCUACACUUCUAAGAUUUUUAUCUCAUCUUAUUUGCUAAGAGAAGGAUGAAAAGCCAGAUUCCAGGCGGCAUCAAAAGCAAGGAGUACCCACUCUGCCCUCGAUUCCAGUCAGGUUAAAAAUAAAGCCCAGUAACAU
Long non-coding RNA from Aethalodelphis obliquidens (Pacific white-sided dolphin), 432 nucleotides. RefSeq lists it as uncharacterized. Lineage: Eukaryota; Metazoa; Chordata; Mammalia; Artiodactyla; Delphinidae. The transcript has 2 exons. The record is from RefSeq and is a predicted model, not a curated record.